GGGCUCGGGCUAACUCCAACCCAUGUGACAUACCUACUGUUGCUUCGGCGGGAUUGCCCCGGGCGCCUCGUGUGCCCCGGAUCAGGCGCCCGCCUAGGAAACUCAACUCUUGUUUUAUUUUGGAAUCUUCUGAGUAGUUUUUACAAAUAAAUAAAAACUUUCAACAACGGACUUCUUGGUUCUGGCAUCGAUGAAGAACGCAGCGAAAUGCGAUAAGUAAUGUGAAUUGCAGAAUUCAGUGAAUCAUCGAAUCUUUGAACGCACAUUGCGCCCGCCAGUAUUCUGGCGGGCAUGCCUGUCUGAGCGUCAUUUCAACCCUCAUGCCCUUAGGGCGUGGUGAAGGGGAUCGGCCAAAGCCCGGCAGGGACGGCCGGCCCCUAAAUCUAGUGGCGGACCCGUCGUGGCCUCCUCUGCGAAGUAGUGAUAUUCCGCAUCGGAGAGCGACGAGCCCCUGCCGUUAAACCCCCAACUUUCCAAGGUUGACCUCAGAUCAGGUAGGAAUAGGCGCUGAACUUAAGCAUAUCAAUAGUGGGAGGAAGCACGCGGAGGGUAAACUCCAACCAUGGGAAGCUGGCUCCUGUUGCGUGGCGGGAUAUCCGGGCACUGUGUUCCGGAUCGGGGCCGCUAAGAACUCACUCUUGAUUGAUUGUCCAAUCUUAGAGUGGGGUUUGCAAUUAGAUAACAACUAUUACAAGAUUCCCUGAGUUCUG
RNAcentral lists this ribosomal RNA (710 nucleotides) under fungal endophyte. RNAcentral's name for it is "eukaryotic LSU rRNA". The stretch from base 156 to 309 matches the Rfam family "5.8S ribosomal RNA". Lineage: Eukaryota; Fungi. The record is from RNAcentral.